CCCGUUUUAUCACCUCUCGAAUCGCUGCUGAGCCUCCUAACGAGCAAAAACGACGAGAAAAGGAAAGGGGAAGCGAGAUGGAAUUUCCGUGAGUACUUCGAAGCAGCUCUGAGCGAGAAAAAAAAAAAUCCCUUCCAGAGUUAUGAAAAGUUAAAAGUUUGACAGGCGUGACGCGUGAUUUUGCCGGUGACCUUGAAACUUGAGGAUCAUCUCGGAAUUCUUAAGUGAGAAACUUUUGGUGCUGAGAACUUCGGAAUUGGUGCACAUACCUCGGGGAUCAGUGUUAACUCCG
RNAcentral lists this unclassified non-coding RNA (292 nucleotides) under Athalia rosae (coleseed sawfly). Its description in RNAcentral is "misc RNA ENSAEAG00005006860.1". The record is from RNAcentral. Lineage: Eukaryota; Metazoa; Arthropoda; Insecta; Hymenoptera; Athaliidae.